GUAGGUGGCAAGCGUUGUCCGGAAUUAUUGGGCGUAAAGCGCGCGCAGGCGGUUCUUUAAGUCUGAUGUGAAAGCCCACGGCUCAACCGUGGAGGGUCAUUGGAAACUGGAGAACUUGAGUACAGAAGAGGAAAGCGGAAUUCCACGUGUAGCGGUGAAAUGCGUAGAGAUGUGGAGGAACACCAGUGGCGAAGGCGGCUUUCUGGUCUGUAACUGACGCUGAGGCGCGAAAGCGUGGGGAGCAAACAGGGAUUAGGUACCCUGGUAGUCCACGCCGUAAACGAUGAGUGCUAAGUGUUAGGGGGGUUUCCCGCCCCCUUAGUGCUGCAGCUAACGCAUUAAGCACUCCGCCUGGGGGAUACGGCCGCAAGGCUG
This 375-nucleotide ribosomal RNA is filed under the name uncultured organism. RNAcentral's name for it is "partial 16S ribosomal RNA". It matches the Rfam family "Bacterial small subunit ribosomal RNA", at positions 527 to 896 of the family's 1533-position model. The record is from RNAcentral.